GACGAACGCUGGCGGCGUGCUUAACACAUGCAAGUCGAACGGAAAGGCCCUGCUUUUGUGGGGUGCUCGAGUGGCGAACGGGUGAGUAACACGUGAGUAACCUGCCCUUGACUUUGGGAUAACUUCAGGAAACUGGGGCUAAUACCGGAUAGGAGCUCCUGCUGCAUGGUGGGGGUUGGAAAGUUUCGGCGGUUGGGGAUGGUCUCGCGGCUUAUCAGCCUGUUGGUGGGGUAGUGGCUUACCAAGGCUUUGACGGGUAGCCGGCCUGGGAGGGUGACCGGCCACAUUGGGACUGAGAUACGGCCCAGACUCCUACGGGAGGCAGCAGGGGAGAAUAUUGCACAAUAGGCGGGAGCCUGAUGCAGCAACGCCGCGUGCGGGAUGACGGCCUUCGGGUGGUAAACCGCUUUCGCCUUUGACGAGGCGUGAGUGACGGUAAUGGGUAAAGAAGCACCGGCUAACUACGUG
RNAcentral lists this ribosomal RNA (468 nucleotides) under uncultured bacterium. RNAcentral describes it as "partial 16S ribosomal RNA". It matches the Rfam family "Bacterial small subunit ribosomal RNA", at positions 28 to 507 of the family's 1533-position model. The record is from RNAcentral.